RNAcentral lists this ribosomal RNA (730 nucleotides) under uncultured bacterium. Its description in RNAcentral is "bacterial SSU rRNA". It matches the Rfam family "Bacterial small subunit ribosomal RNA", at positions 778 to 1510 of the family's 1533-position model. The record is from RNAcentral.
UUAGAUACCCUUGUAGUCCACGCCGUAAACGAUGAAUACUAGGUGUCAGGGGGCAUGGACCGCUGGGGCCCCAGCAAACCCCAUAAGUAUUUCCACUGGGGAAUACCUUCGCAAGAAUGAAACUUAAAAGAAUUGACCGGGACCCCCACCAACCGGGGAACCUGGGGGUUAAUUCCAACCCACCCCAAAAACCUUACCAAGCCCUGACAUUCCGCCGGAAUCAUAUGUAACGCCUGUUCCCUUUCUGGGCGGCGGAGACAGGUGGUGCAUGGUUGUCGUCAGCUCGUGUCGUGAGAUGUUGGGUUAAGUCCCGCAACGAGCGCAACCCCUACCCCCAGUAGCCAGCGCGCAAAGGCGGGCACUCUGUGGGGACUGCCACGGACAACCUGGAGGAAGGCGGNGAUGACGUCAAAUCAUCAUGCCCCUUAUGGCUUGGGCUACACACGUGCUACAAUGGCGCCAACAGAGGGAUGCGAUGCGGCGACGCCGAGCGAACCCCAGAAACAGCGCCCNCAGUUCGGAUUGCAGCCUGCAACUCGGCUGCAUGAAGCCGGAAUCGCUAGUAAUCGCGGAUCAGAAUGCCGCGGUGAAUACGUUCCCGGGUCUUGUACACACCGCCCGUCCACCAUGGGAGUCGGGAAUGCCCGAAAUCAGCGCCCCACCGCAAGAGGGAGCUGCCGAAGCCAGACCGAUGACUGGGGUGAAAUCGAACAGGUAAACCGAAUUCAAC